Long non-coding RNA from Dermacentor silvarum, 344 nucleotides. RefSeq lists it as uncharacterized. The transcript has 4 exons. The record is from RefSeq and is a predicted model, not a curated record. NCBI's taxonomy places the organism in Eukaryota, Metazoa, Arthropoda, Arachnida, Ixodida, Ixodidae.
ACCCUCUCGGUGGUAUCCAAUCUCCGUUUUAUGGAUUCGGACUUCCUGCGUCACUGAACUUUGGCGGUAUUGGAACAAUAAUCGCACAUGAACUUACUCACGCCUUUGCCAGAGUGAGCCCCGUCUACAAAAAUAAUGCAAUAUCGAACUUACCGGAACAUGAAACAAAUAUAUUUAAACAGAGAGCGGAAUGUUUCGAGUUUCAGUAUGGAAACAUUACAGACAAAGAAACAGAAACUCAGCUCAAUGGAAAAGCAACUCUAGACGAAAACAUGGCCGACAAUAGUGGCUUGUAUAUUGCACUGAAGGUAAGUUCAAUCAUUGCUCUUCUGAUGCAGCGGGAC